UGGGGAAUAUUGCACAAUGGGCGCAAGCCUGAUGCAGCCAUGCCGCGUGUGUGAAGAAGGCCUUCGGGUUGUAAAGCACUUUCAGCGGGGAGGAAGGCGGUGAGGUUAAUAACCUCACCGAUUGACGUUACCCGCAGAAGAAGCACCGGCUAACUCCGUGCCAGCAGCCGCGGUAAUACGGAGGGUGCAAGCGUUAAUCGGAAUUACUGGGCGUAAAGCGCACGCAGGCGGUUGAUUGAGUCAGAUGUGAAAUCCCCGGGCUUAACCCGGGAAUUGCAUCUGAUACUGGUCAGCUAGAGUCUUGUAGAGGGGGGUAGAAUUCCAUGUGUAGCGGUGAAAUGCGUAGAGAUGUGGAGGAAUACCGGUGGCGAAGGCGGCCCCCUGGACAAAGACUGACGCUCAGGUGCGAAAGCGUGGGGAGCAAACAGG
RNAcentral lists this ribosomal RNA (429 nucleotides) under Chloroflexota bacterium. Its description in RNAcentral is "Chloroflexi bacterium partial 16S ribosomal RNA". It matches the Rfam family "Bacterial small subunit ribosomal RNA", at positions 355 to 776 of the family's 1533-position model. Lineage: Bacteria; Bacillati; Chloroflexota. The record is from RNAcentral.